Molecule: ribosomal RNA, 583 nt
Filed under: uncultured bacterium
Lineage: Bacteria
Description: partial 16S ribosomal RNA
Rfam family: Bacterial small subunit ribosomal RNA
Source: RNAcentral
UGGGGAAUUUUGGACAAUGGGCGCAAGCCUGAUCCAGCCAUGCCGCGUGCGGGAAGAAGGCCUUCGGGUUGUAAACCGCUUUUGUCAGGGAAGAAAUCUUCUGAGUUAAUACCUCGGGAGGAUGACGGUACCUGAAGAAUAAGCACCGGCUAACUACGUGCCAGCAGCCGCGGUAAUACGUAGGGUGCAAGCGUUAAUCGGAAUUACUGGGCGUAAAGCGUGCGCAGGCGGUUUUGUAAGACAGAGGUGAAAUCCCCGGGCUCAACCUGGGAACUGCCUUUGUGACUGCAAGGCUUGAGUGCGGCAGAGGGGGGAUGGAAUUCCGCGUGUAGCAGUGAAAUGUGUAGAUAUGCGGAGGAACACCGAUGGCGAAGGCAAUCCCUGGGCCUGCACUGACGCUCAUGCACGAAAGCGUGGGGAGCAAACAGGAUUAGAUACCCUGGUAGUCCACGCCCUAAACGAUGUCAACUGGUUGUUGGGAAGGUUCCUUCUCAGUAACGUAGCUAACGCGUGAAGUUGACCGCCUGGGGGAGUACGGCCGCAAGGUUGAAACUCAAAUGAAUUGACGGGGUCAUAGCUGUUU